GGUAAAAUGGCCGAGUAGGCAUUAGGCUGUAAAUCUAAUCACAGGGGUUUAGUCCCCUUUUUACC
This 65-nucleotide transfer RNA is filed under the name Rhinolophus yunanensis. RNAcentral's name for it is "tRNA-Tyr". It matches the Rfam family "tRNA". From Rfam's summary of the family: Transfer RNA (tRNA) molecules are approximately 80 nucleotides in length. Their secondary structure includes four short double-helical elements and three loops (D, anti-codon, and T loops). Further hydrogen bonds mediate the characteristic L-shaped molecular structure. tRNAs have two regions of fundamental functional importance: the anti-codon, which is responsible for specific mRNA codon recognition, and the 3' end, to which the tRNAs corresponding amino acid is attached (by aminoacyl-tRNA synthetases). tRNAs cope with the degeneracy of the genetic code in two manners: having more than one tRNA (with a specific anti-codon) for a particular amino acid; and 'wobble' base-pairing, i.e. permitting non-standard base-pairing at the 3rd anti-codon position. The record is from RNAcentral. Lineage: Eukaryota; Metazoa; Chordata; Mammalia; Chiroptera; Rhinolophidae.